AACAGAGCUGCCUGGGGGCGCGGAACGGCCCCGCCGCACGGGGUCAGUGUGCUCAGGGAUGGCGCUGCAAGGCCCGCGGGCUGCUGGAGGAGGGGGCCUGGGUCCCAGACCGCAGCAGGACCUGGCGUCCCACUCAGCUCUCCCUCCGCGAGCGCUGUAACAUGAUCCCCGGAAAUUCCUGGAGAAGGGCCGCCCCCCGCCCCUCUCCCGGCAGCUCCCGGCCUCGCGGGCUGUCCCAACCUCCCCUCCUCUCCUCCCCACUGCGCUGCCCCAGCUCUGGCUACCCUUCCAGAUGCCCCACGGGCACCGGGACCGCCUCCACGCAGGCUGGAACCUGUCCAGAUCGAGGUCUCCCAGCGGUGUAGAUUGACGGGUGGGGAGGCUGAAGACCACGCCUGGAUGGAAGAUAAAGAAGGGUUUUCAGUGUUACUGUCUCCUGCAACUACGAUCCUCUUUCCACAAGAUGGAAAGCGCUCAGGACCAAACGCAAGCGGCAGCUGGCUGCACCAUCCACCAUCCACCCGCAGCAGCAAAUAAACACGUGUCUCCAAAACACUACAACUCCCAAGAAGCUAUAGUGUCU
Long non-coding RNA from Felis catus (domestic cat), 583 nucleotides. RefSeq lists it as uncharacterized. The transcript has 3 exons. The record is from RefSeq and is a predicted model, not a curated record. NCBI's taxonomy places the organism in Eukaryota, Metazoa, Chordata, Mammalia, Carnivora, Felidae.